This 71-nucleotide transfer RNA is filed under the name Bifidobacterium breve. RNAcentral describes it as "tRNA-Gln". Lineage: Bacteria; Bacillati; Actinomycetota; Actinomycetes; Bifidobacteriales; Bifidobacteriaceae. The record is from RNAcentral.
CGGCAGCAUUCUUCGUUUCGAUUUCUUCCUCUACACUCGAACGAUGUGUUGUACCGGACAUACAGGGUUUC